GUAGGUGAACCUGCGGAAGGAUCAUUAUUGAUUGUGAAUGGUUGCCUUCAGUGCUGGCUCCGGCAAGUGCACGCUGGUGACUUCAAUCCAAUACCCUUGUGAACCAUUGGCCUCUUGCUAGCUUCGGCUGGUAGAGGAUAUUUACACCAACUCGAAUGUAAUGAAAUUAUUGUUGUGCGCAAGCACUAAUGUACAACUUUCAACAACGGAUCUCUUGGCUCUCGCAUCGAUGAAGAACGCAGCGAAAUGCGAUAAGUAAUGUGAAUUGCAGAAUUCAGUGAAUCAUCGAAUCUUUGAACGCACCUUGCACCCUUUGGCAUUCCGAAGGGUAUGCUCGUUUGAGUGUCAUUGUACUCUCACACUUCCAAUUCUAUGGAUUGGGAGCGGUGGACUUGGGCGCUGCUGCUUUACUGUGGCUCACCUCAAAUGCAUUAGUGCAACCCUUGGUUAGACAUAGUACGGCGUGAUAAGUGUCUUCGCUGGCGCCUCACUUAGAGGGUGGCUGAUCAGGGGCUCUGUGCUUCAAACCGUCUUUGGACAAUGGCUGACAACUUGACCUCAAAUCGAGUAGGACUACCCGCUGAACUUAAGCAUAUCAAUAAGCGGAGGAAAAGAAACUAACAAGGAUUCCCCUAGUAACGGCGAGUGAAGAGGGAAGAGCUCAAAUUUUGAAUCUGGCGUCUUUGGCGUCCGAAUUGUAAUCUAGAGAAGUGUUUUCCGUGACGGACCGUGCAUAAGUCUCCUGGAAUGGAGUGUCAUAGAGGGUGAGAAUCCCGUAUAUGGCACGGACUCCCGUUGCUCUGUGAUACACUCUCGACGAGUCGAGUUGUUUGGGAAUGCAGCUCCAAAUGGGUGGUAAAUGCCAUCUAAAGCUAAAUAUUGGCGAGAGACCGAUAGCGAACAAGUACCGUGAGGGAAAGAUGAAAAGCACUUUGGAAAGAGAGUGAAACAGUACGUGAAAUUGUUGAAAGGGAAACGCUUGAAGUCAGUCGCGCCGUUCGGGAUUCAGCCUUGCUUCUGCUCGGUUUACUUCCCGUUGGGUGGGUCAACAUCAGUUCUAGACGGAGGAGAAAGGCUUGGGGAAGGUAGCAGCAUUCGUGCUGUGUUAUAGCCCCUUGUUGUAUACUUCGAUUGGGACUGAGGACUGCAGCACGCCUUUGGCCGGGGUUCGCCCACGUACGUGCUUAGGAUGUUGGCAUAAUGGCUUUAAGCGACCCGUCUUG
RNAcentral lists this ribosomal RNA (1223 nucleotides) under Sebacina epigaea. Its description in RNAcentral is "eukaryotic LSU rRNA". The stretch from base 554 to 1223 matches the Rfam family "Eukaryotic large subunit ribosomal RNA", at positions 1 to 656 of the family's 3401-position model. Lineage: Eukaryota; Fungi; Basidiomycota; Agaricomycetes; Sebacinales; Sebacinaceae. The record is from RNAcentral.